RNAcentral lists this ribosomal RNA (443 nucleotides) under uncultured bacterium. RNAcentral describes it as "SSU rRNA". It matches the Rfam family "Bacterial small subunit ribosomal RNA", at positions 26 to 518 of the family's 1533-position model. The record is from RNAcentral.
AGAACGAACGCUGGCGGCAGGCUUAACACAUGCAAGUCGAGCGCCCCGCAAGGGGAGCGGCAGACGGGUGAGUAACGCGUGGGAAUCUACCCAACUCUACGGAAUAACUCAGGGAAACUUGUGCUAAUACCGUAUACGCCCUUCGGGGGAAAGAUUUAUCGGAGUUGGAUGAGCCCGCGUUGGAUUAGCUAGUUGGUGGGGUAAAGGCCUACCAAGGCGACGAUCCAUAGCUGGUCUGAGAGGAUGAUCAGCCACAUUGGGACUGAGACACGGCCCAAACUCCUACGGGAGGCAGCAGUGGGGAAUAUUGGACAAUGGGCGCAAGCCUGAUCCAGCCAUGCCGCGUGUGUGAUGAAGGCCUUAGGGUUGUAAAGCACUUUCACCGGAGAAGAUAAUGACGGUAUCCGGAGAAGAAGCCCGGCUAACUUCGUGCCAGCAGCCGC